Molecule: ribosomal RNA, 253 nt
Filed under: uncultured bacterium
Lineage: Bacteria
Description: partial 16S ribosomal RNA
Rfam family: Bacterial small subunit ribosomal RNA
Source: RNAcentral
UACGUAGGCAGCGAGCGUUGUUCGGAGUUACUGGGCGUAAAGGGUGUGUAGGCGGUUCUUUAAGUUUGGUGUGAAAUCCCCCGGCUCAACUGGGAGGGUGCGCCGAAUACUGGGGGACUAGAGUACGGGAGAGGAAAGUGGAAUUCCUGGUGUAGCGGUGAAAUGCGUAGAUAUCAGGAGGAACACCGAUGGCGAAGGCAGGUCUCUGGGCUGACACUGACGCUCAUGCACGAAAGCGUGGGGAGCAAACAGG